GGGGGCGAUCAGGAUUCGACGCCGGUAUCAAACUCCAAGGUGCAUGUCGAGAGGGUAUAGACUCUCGUAAAUCAAUCUAUGCAACUUCUAUAGUUGCCAACGACGAAAACUACGCACUAGCCGCUUAAGAACUAAGUAAGGCUAGCGGUCGCCCCGGGAUGCCUGUAAACCGGUGUUUUGCGACUGUCAUAUAGAACAGGAUCGCUAGUGGAUCGCGCUCGACGUGAAACGGCUAAAAGUAUCGAGCUCGCCCAAACCACCCUGCCCGUCGGGCCGGUACGGGUUAACUUAAUAGACGACGCUAAACAUGUAGAUCCAAGGACAGAGAACUGACGGACGGGGGUUCAAAUCCCCCCGCCUCCACCA
RNAcentral lists this transfer-messenger RNA (366 nucleotides) under Pseudohongiellaceae. RNAcentral's name for it is "Pseudohongiella sp913058135 Standard tmRNA". It matches the Rfam family "transfer-messenger RNA". Rfam says of the family: Bacterial tmRNA, also known as 10Sa RNA or SsrA, is named for its dual tRNA and mRNA-like properties. Its role is to liberate the mRNA from a stalled ribosome. Lineage: Bacteria; Pseudomonadati; Pseudomonadota; Gammaproteobacteria; Pseudomonadales. RNAcentral also lists the same sequence under 1 other name. The record is from RNAcentral.